AUGUCGAGAAGGUCUGUCUCUUACACAAGAUUGAUGCUCCAGAAUUUGGUGCUAGCUUCUGAUUCCAAGCAUAUUGUUGAAGAUAUCCAGAAAUCAAGCCGAGGAGUUCAGGGAGCAAUAAUUAGUGAGAUUAGACAACGUCUUUUAUUGUUUAAUCGUAAUAUAACUUUUGAAGGCAGAUCCGUGAAUAAAGAUGUUGAUAGGUUAGCCAAGUUUGCUCAAUCCUUAGAUCAGGGACGCCAUGUCUGGUCUGGCACACCCCAUGACCCGUUUUAUAUCCCACAUCAUGUGGACUUUGAGUAA
This 303-nucleotide ribosomal RNA is filed under the name Triticum aestivum (bread wheat). RNAcentral's name for it is "partial small subunit ribosomal RNA". The record is from RNAcentral. Lineage: Eukaryota; Viridiplantae; Streptophyta; Magnoliopsida; Poales; Poaceae.